AUUUAACGCUGGCGGCGUGCCUAAUACAUGCAAGUCGAACGCAGUGGGGACGGGUGAGUAACACGUGGUUAACCUCCCCAUCAGAGGGGAUAACACUUGGAAAUAGGUGCUAAACCGAUACUGUUAGAUGGACCCGCGGUGCAUUAGCUAGUUGGUGAGGUAACGGCUCACCAAGGCCACGAUGCAUAGCCGACCUGAGAGGGUGAUCGGCCACACUGGGACUGAGACACGGCCCAGACUCCUACGGGAGGCAGCAGUAGGGAAUCUUCGGCAAUGGACGAAAGUCUGACCGAGCAACGCCGCGUGAGUGAAGAAGGUUUUCGGAUCGUAAAACUCUGUUGUUAGAGAAGCGGUAUCUAACCAGAAAGCCACGGCUAACUACGUGCCAGCAGCCGCGGUAAUUC
This 404-nucleotide ribosomal RNA is filed under the name uncultured bacterium. RNAcentral describes it as "partial 16S ribosomal RNA". It matches the Rfam family "Bacterial small subunit ribosomal RNA", at positions 32 to 526 of the family's 1533-position model. The record is from RNAcentral.